This 431-nucleotide ribosomal RNA is filed under the name uncultured bacterium. RNAcentral describes it as "bacterial SSU rRNA". It matches the Rfam family "Bacterial small subunit ribosomal RNA", at positions 917 to 1349 of the family's 1533-position model. The record is from RNAcentral.
GGGCCCGCACAAGCGGUGGAGUAUGUGGUUUAAUUCGAUGCAACGCGAAGAACCUUACCAGGGUUUGACAUCCUGCGAAUUUCUGGGAAACCGGAAAGUGCCUUCGGGAGCGCAGUGACAGGUGGUGCAUGGCUGUCGUCAGCUCGUGUCGUGAGAUGUUGGGUUAAGUCCCGCAACGAGCGCAACCCACGUCUUUAGUUGCCAGCAUUUAGUUGGGCACUCUAGAGAGACUGCCGGUGAUAAACCGGAGGAAGGUGUGGAUGACGUCAAGUCAUCAUGCCCCUUACAUCCUGGGCUACACACGUACUACAAUGGCAAGUACAACGAGUCGCAAUACCGCGAGGUGGAGCAAAUCUCUUAAAGCUUGUCUCAGUUCGGAUAGGAGUCUGCAACUCGACUCCUUGAAGUUGGAGUCGCUAGUAAUCGCAAAU